RNAcentral lists this unclassified non-coding RNA (1429 nucleotides) under uncultured Neocallimastigales. RNAcentral describes it as "partial contains small subunit ribosomal RNA, internal transcribed spacer 1, 5.8S ribosomal RNA, internal transcribed spacer 2, and large subunit ribosomal RNA". The stretch from base 644 to 1429 matches the Rfam family "Eukaryotic large subunit ribosomal RNA", at positions 1 to 628 of the family's 3401-position model. Lineage: Eukaryota; Fungi; Neocallimastigomycota; Neocallimastigomycetes; Neocallimastigales. The record is from RNAcentral.
UGGAAGUAAAGUCGUAACAAGGGUUUCCGUAGGUGAAACCUGCGGAAGGAUCAAUUAAAAAAUGUGGUAACAGUUGUUGGUACUAAAUUAAAUCAUCCUACCCUUUGUGGAAUUGUUUGUAACGAAUUUUUUUAAAUGGUUCUUUCCCUAAGUUGGAUUGUAGUAAAAUACAAAAAGACUUAGGGGAAAUGACUUUUUUAAAAGACUUUUUUUUUAAAUUUAAACUUUUUUUGUAUUCAUUUGUCUAAAAUUUAUUUUUAAUAUAAAAAAAACUUUUGGACAAUGGAUCUCUUGGUUCUCGCAACGAUGAAGAACGCAGCAAAAUGCGAUAAUAGUGGUGUGAAUUGCAGAAUACGUGAAAUCAUCGAAUCUUCGAACGCAUAUUGCACUUUUUUUUAGUUUACUAAAAAAGUAUGUCUGUUUGAGUAUCAGUAAAAAUAUUCUCACAAACAUAUAUUGUUUGUGUAAUGAGUGUUUUACAACGAUAAAACAAGUUGUUUCAUUUAAAUUCUUUUGUAAGUUUUUACUACAAUUUACAAAUUUUAAAAUUGGAUAAAAAUUUUCCUUUAACGAGAAUAACCUAAACAAUUUUAAAUUUUUUGGUUUGUAAAAUCCAUAAAGGAAUCUAUACAUAAAUAACUUGAUCUCAAAAAUCAAUAAGAGUAACCCGCUGAAACUUAAGCAAUCAAUAAGCGGAGGAAAAAAGAACUAACAAGGAUUUCCCUUAGUAACGGCGAGUGAAGCGGAAGAGCUCAAAUUUGAAAUCUUUCAAGGUUUGGACCUUGACGAAUUGUAGUUUUAUAGAAGUUGUUUCUGUUGGAGUUUUGGUAAAAGUUCUUUUGGAAUAGGACAUCAUAGAGGUGGAAAUCCGUAUUUGACCAUGACUUUCCCAGCUGUGUGAUACACUUUCAAAGAGUUGGAUUGUUUGGGAAUGGCAGUCCCAAAAAUGGGUGGUAAAUUUCAUCUAAAGCUAAAUAUUGGCGAGAGACCGAUAGCGAAACAAGUACCGUGGAGGGAAGAUGAAAAAGAACUUCGAAAAGAGAGUUAAACAGUACGUGAAAAUUGUCAAAAGGGAAGCGUUUGACACCAGUGUUGUUUUCUCGAAAAUCAAUUUAAUGAGUUCUUGUUUUUAAGUUAUUGUGACUUUAUCAGCGCAUUUCUUAUUUUACUUGACUCAUUGAAUGCACUUUUCGUUUAACAGUUCAACAUCAAUUUCUUUGGUGGUAAAAGUUUAAAGGAAGGUGGCUUGGACUUCGGUUCAAGUGUUUAUAGCCUUUUUUCUAUGCCAUCGGAAGAUUGAGGUCUGCAGCGUAGAUCCUUCGGGUUAGAUCUUUAGUACUAAGUUAUAGUUUUUUAUAGACAACUUGUUGACUAUAAUUAACCCUGUAAUUUACUCGCUAGAGCUAUUUUACCUACGCUUAGGAUGUUG